GCUGAGGUAGCAAAGUCUGGCCUAACGCGCCGGUCUUGAAAACCGGUUCUCAUCAGGGAGCGGGAGUUCGAAUCUCCCCCUCAGCG
RNAcentral lists this transfer RNA (86 nucleotides) under Candidatus Woesebacteria bacterium. RNAcentral's name for it is "tRNA-Ser". It matches the Rfam family "tRNA". From Rfam's summary of the family: Transfer RNA (tRNA) molecules are approximately 80 nucleotides in length. Their secondary structure includes four short double-helical elements and three loops (D, anti-codon, and T loops). The record is from RNAcentral. Lineage: Bacteria; Candidatus Woeseibacteriota.